UACGGAGGAUGCGAGCGUUAUCCGGAUUUAUUGGGUUUAAAGGGUGCGUAGGCGGGCUGUUAAGUCAGCGGUAAAAGCCCGGGGCUCAACCCCGGCGAGCCGUUGAAACUGGCUGUCUUGAGAUGUCGAGAGGUAUGCGGAAUGCGCAGUGUAGCGGUGAAAUGCUUAGAUAUUGCGCAGAACUCCGAUUACGAAGGCAGCAUACCGGCGGCGAUCUGACGCUGAGGCACGAAAGCGUGGGUAUCGAACAGG
Molecule: ribosomal RNA, 252 nt
Filed under: uncultured bacterium
Lineage: Bacteria
Description: partial 16S ribosomal RNA
Rfam family: Bacterial small subunit ribosomal RNA
Source: RNAcentral